Molecule: ribosomal RNA, 253 nt
Filed under: uncultured bacterium
Lineage: Bacteria
Description: partial 16S ribosomal RNA
Rfam family: Bacterial small subunit ribosomal RNA
Source: RNAcentral
UACGAAGGGGGCUAGCGUUGCUCGGAAUCACUGGGCGUAAAGGGCGCGUAGGCGGAUCUUUAAGUCGGGGGUGAAAGCCUGAGGCUCAACCUCAGAAUUGCCUUCGAUACUGGAGAUCUUGAGACCGGAAGAGGUAAGUGGAACUGCGAGUGUAGAGGUGAAAUUCGUAGAUAUUCGCAAGAACACCAGUGGCGAAGGCGGCUUACUGGUCCGGUUCUGACGCUGAGGUGCGAAAGCGUGGGGAGCAAACAGG